UACGAAGGGGGCUAGCGUUGCUCGGAAUCACUGGGCGUAAAGCGUGUGUAGGCGGAUCGUUAAGUACCUUGUGAAAUCCCACGGCUCAACCGUGGAACUGCUGGGUAUACUGGCGGUCUUGAGCCACCUAGGGGCAACUGGAACAAGCGGUGGAGCGGUGAAAUGCGUAGAUAUCGCUUGGAGCGCCAACGGUGAAAACAGGUUGCUGGGGGUGUGCUGACGCUGAGACACGAAAGCCAGGGGAGCAAACGGG
This 253-nucleotide ribosomal RNA is filed under the name uncultured bacterium. Its description in RNAcentral is "partial 16S ribosomal RNA". It matches the Rfam family "Bacterial small subunit ribosomal RNA", at positions 524 to 776 of the family's 1533-position model. The record is from RNAcentral.